UACGUAGGAGGCUAGCGUUGUCCGGAAUCAUUGGGCGUAAAGCGCGUGUAGGCGGUCCGGUAAGUCCGCUGUGAAAGUCGGGGGCUCAACCCUCGGAUGCCGGUGGAUACUGUCGGGCUUGAGUACGGAAGAGGCGAGUGGAAUUCCUGGUGUAGCGGUGAAAUGCGCAGAUAUCAGGAGGAACACCAAUUGCGAAGGCAGCUCGCUGGGACGUUACUGACGCUGAGACGCGAAAGCGUGGGGAGCAAACAGG
Molecule: ribosomal RNA, 253 nt
Filed under: uncultured bacterium
Lineage: Bacteria
Description: partial 16S ribosomal RNA
Rfam family: Bacterial small subunit ribosomal RNA
Source: RNAcentral